This is a small nuclear RNA of Cynocephalus volans (Philippine flying lemur), 108 nucleotides long. The record is from RefSeq and is a predicted model, not a curated record. NCBI's taxonomy places the organism in Eukaryota, Metazoa, Chordata, Mammalia, Dermoptera, Cynocephalidae.
GUGUUUGUUUGUUUCAGCAGCACAUACACUAAAAUGAACAGUGCAGAGAAGAUUAGCAUGGCUCCUGUCCAAGGAUGAUGUGAAAUUUGUGAAGAGUUUAAAAAAAAA